RNAcentral lists this transfer RNA (57 nucleotides) under Rhizophagus irregularis. Its description in RNAcentral is "tRNA-Lys". It matches the Rfam family "tRNA", at positions 8 to 62 of the family's 71-position model. Rfam says of the family: Transfer RNA (tRNA) molecules are approximately 80 nucleotides in length. Their secondary structure includes four short double-helical elements and three loops (D, anti-codon, and T loops). The record is from RNAcentral. Lineage: Eukaryota; Fungi; Glomeromycota; Glomeromycetes; Glomerales; Glomeraceae.
UAGCUCAAUCGGUAGAGCGUGAGACUCUUAAUCUCAAGGUUGUGGGUUCGACCCCCA